AAGGUACGAAUAUUGACAGUUAAACCAUCACCACUUCCACAGCCACCUUGUCUCAAGCAUUCAAUUGCAUUCUAAGAUAUCUUUAUUCAAAUCAAGUGUGACUACUAUACCAAAAGACUGUAGAAUGGACCAAUCAACUAACCCAUCAGUAUUUGCAAAGUCUCCUUUUCUGUUAGCCUGAAGACUGAGUUCUAAAAUACAAUUAUUCACAUAACUACUAUAUCAAAGCACAAACUAAUGGAUUGAUCAAAAAAGAGAUUGUAUGACUUCGGUAUCCGCAAUACGGUAUCGUGCAUUGGUUUCCAUCUUAGAAUGGCUCCCUUCCGUAUAGGUGGAAAUAGGAAAGGUUAUGUCCUUUUUUCUACAAAGAAGCUUAAUCGGUUCAAGCAAAGAUGAUGAUGAUUAUUAUGAAGCCGA
Hydra vulgaris (swiftwater hydra) is the source of this 417-nucleotide non-coding RNA. The record is from RefSeq and is a predicted model, not a curated record. NCBI's taxonomy places the organism in Eukaryota, Metazoa, Cnidaria, Hydrozoa, Anthoathecata, Hydridae.